UUAAAAUAUGAGUUUCUGGAAGAGGGUAAAUUCUAGUUGUAAACAAGCAACAAUAUAGACUGAGACACUUAAGACAGCUGGCAGCCUGCGAUUGAUAGUUUCUGGCCUUUCCCCAGUGAUCUGUUCAUGAGCUCAUCAAACCGACUUCGAUAGGCAUGAGAUGGAGCAGCAUCUUGAAUGAGCAGGAGCCCAAUUGCUGUUGACCAAUUAACAGUUCAAGCAACUCAUACGGUCAACUGGCAUACCUAAAGCCACUGAACAUGAGCUUGAUUGGCUGAUGGAUCCCUGAUGAUUAUGGAUAUGGUGGUUGGUGCAUGGGGAGGCUUGGAAUAUCCAUCACCUGUGACGAUUGAAGACCCUCCCCAGGCCUUAUUUCAUCAGAAAGGCAGGCAUGAGUAAGUAAAAACAUAUCAGUUCAUUUACAUUUUGUUAAGAAUAGAUAUGUCCUUGUUACAUAGUUUUCAAUCUCUUUUUCUGGUUAGUUCAAACGCUUCUUUCUUCUUUCCUUUUUAAAUGUACAGGGUGCAUACAAGUAUUAGGUGGUUUUGGAACUGGUCAACAUACAUUCCCCGACUGGAAGCUAAUGUUUUUGAAAUUCCAAUAAUGCCCCCACAUGAUCAUAAAAAUGA
Telopea speciosissima is the source of this 629-nucleotide long non-coding RNA. RefSeq lists it as uncharacterized. NCBI's taxonomy places the organism in Eukaryota, Viridiplantae, Streptophyta, Magnoliopsida, Proteales, Proteaceae. The transcript is spliced from 3 exons. The record is from RefSeq and is a predicted model, not a curated record.